Cyprinus carpio carpio is the source of this 774-nucleotide long non-coding RNA. NCBI's taxonomy places the organism in Eukaryota, Metazoa, Chordata, Actinopteri, Cypriniformes, Cyprinidae. The record is from Ensembl.
GCAAACUUUUACAAAAUAAGACUUAUAAUGUAUUUAAGUUGUCUACUACCAUAGCAAACCUUAAAAACUCUCUACUGAGAAUACAGCUAAAACCAGCCUAAGCUGAUCAGUUGCUUUGGCUAGUCUCCCAAGCUGGUUUUUAAGUGUUUUUGGCCACUGUCACGCUGGUCUUAGCUGGUUUCUAACUGAAUCAACUAGUUUUACCUGGAUUAACAUAGAAACAUGCUAGUCACUUGCUAGUCAUGCUAGAAACAUGCUAGUCACUUGGUAAUCAUGCUAAAAAAAUACUAGUCACUUUGCUAAUCAUGAUAACAAAAUGCUAGUCACUUUGUUAAUCAUGCUAAAAACAUGCUAGAAACAUGCUACAAACAUGCUAGUCAUGCUAGCAACAUGCUAGAGACAUGCUAGUCAUGUUAACAGCAUGCUAGUCACUUGCUACUUAUGCUAGCAACAUGCUAAUCACUUGCUAAUCAUGCUAACAACAUGCUAGUCUCUUGUUAAUCAUGGUAACAACAUGCUAGUAACUUUGCUAAUCAUGCUAAAAACAUGCUAAUAACAUGCUAGUCACUUGCUAAUCAUGCUAAUGGCAUGCUCGUCAUGCUAGAGACAUGCUAGAGACACGCUAGUCAAGCUAGCAACAUGCUAGUAACUUUGCUAGUCAUGUUAGUGACAUGCUAGUCGCAUGCUAAUCAUGCUAGCAAAAUGCUAGUCGCAUACUAAUCAUGCUAAAAACAUGUUAGCAACAUACAAACAACAUGCUAAUCAUGUUAGAAA